Molecule: long non-coding RNA, 2941 nt
Filed under: Sus scrofa (pig)
Lineage: Eukaryota; Metazoa; Chordata; Mammalia; Artiodactyla; Suidae
Description: lncRNA (ENSSSCG00005020428.1)
Source: RNAcentral
GGAAGUAGGAGGGAAAGGGUAGGAGGGCCGAGAGAGGAGCCAGGCAGAUCUGGGGGCUCAGGAGCAGGUGGAGGAGGCCAAGGGACAGCCUCCCGGAGGGCCGGGGAGCGACACAGAUCCGCACGGCACAGGGACACUGAAGCCUCAGAGCUCGUUUCACACCAGCUGAGGUGCGACGGCUUCUCCACCCCUCCUCCCAUCACAGCCAGCUUCUUGGCCACUCGGGUGACAUCCAGGACCCCAGGCUGGGAGGUGGGAGGCACGGACUCAUAUCCUGACCCUCCACUCCCUGGCUUGGACUUAAUCUGAUUGCGAAGGAACACACUGACAAGGGGCGCACACUCCACGCCCAUCUGCAGGCCCGCUGGCUGUGAGGUAGUGAGCUCCCCGUCCUCAGGGGUAUGCGAGCAGGAACCACCAACAUGUUGGUGAAGUCGUGGAGGGCAGAGGAAAGGGGACAAGCAUCCUUCUGAGUCUCAGACACCAGGUCCCUUCUCUUCUGGGAGUCCCAUCUGCAAGGACUGUAGUAGCUGGCAUUUAGUGAGCACCUCCUGCAUACCAGGCUCUUUGCCACACUUGGCAGGCACCACUUCACUGACCCUCCCCAUACCCUGUGUGUAGGCACCGUUCCUCCCGCGCGUUCCAGAUGAGAAGACCGAGACACGGAGGUCAGGUGACUUGUGGAUGUCCCCAGGCUGGUCAGGUGGGCAGAACCGAGACAACGGUGUGGCACAGAGCUUGCAUCCUGUCCCACAAGGCAGCAUAAACUGUAGCCCCAAUUAUGGGAAAUCCAACCCUAUUUACAAAGACGUUCUCUCAGCUUUGAGAAGGUUCCCCAGCAUCACAGCGGGGCUUUGGCUGGAAGACAGUGGGCCGUGGCUCCAUCAGGCCGGGGGCAGCCCCAGCCCUGCCAGGACAGGCAGGUGCCAGGCCACGAGGCACCUGUGGCAGCGGAAGGCGGGGCACCUUGUCCUCCCAGGGGGCGGGGCACUGGGUGCCAGGAGCGGGCCCGGGCGCAGCCUGCCUCGUGGGUGCUGGGAGGGCAGCCAGGGGCCAUUGGGGGCUUUGUGCCUAUCACUGAAGCACAGCAUGGACCUCCGCCCCUUCCUUGCACCCUUGGCAGCCAGGUGGGCACACCUGCCCCAGGCAGUCCCAGGCCCCAUCCCUGACCCUGGCUGGUACCCAGUGUUAGGGUUAGGGUUAGGGAUCCCCCAGACCAUAGCGUCCUUAAACAAAGGAACAAAGCUGAGCCCUGGCCUGGGUCACAGACAUGGGGUCUCAGGCGGCAGUGUCUCCGACUCCAGGAGCAGCUCAGCCCCGCCUCUUCCAGGAAGCCCGCAGGGACUGCUCCGUCCCUCUCUCUCUCUCUCUCUUUCCUCAAUAUUGCAUCCUUUCCUCAGCUCUAGAAUGGGAAGGGAGCUCAGCUGGCUUCACUGGGGUCCAAACCAGGGCACGUGUGAGAGUGCAGAUGGCACCAUUACCUGUUACGUGGGGACAUGGGCUGAAAACCAGGACCCUCCCAGGACAUUCGGGGGCCUGGCUUAUACCAUCAUGCGUCGUUGGCUGUUCGGGUGUUUCUGUCUCUGGUUCCCUUUCUUGUCAAGUCAGCUUCCUACCUGUAACGUGGCAGUGCUGGUGGCACUGUGAGGGUUCGGCGAGGCGGUCCUUGCUGCUAGGAAGCAUCCUGUCUUCUCUGUAUCCUUUCGGCACCAAGCUCAUGUCAGCCAGGGCUUCCGACGGUCUGAUGGCUGCCUGGAGGAGGCUCGGCCUGCUGCAGGUGCCCGGUGACAUUCCUAGGAUGACGGGUGGAGCGCGAAGGCUGGCUGGCUGGGUGGAUGCCUCCCUGAAUGGAGACUGAAUGAACACCGGGUCUCUUCUCUUCCCAGGUGGCUCUGGAGACCCCAGCCCCUGGCAGCGGGCAGCCGGGGAGGGUAUGAGUGUGCUUUUGUCCCCGUGGUUACCCAUUGCCACGUUACCCAUCGCCACGGUGGGCACACUCUCUCUGUUUCUGCUCCUUGAGUCUCGGACCCUGGCCGCCCACCAGGCCUCCCUCCCUCCCCUUGGCGCUGGCAGGACAGGCAGGUCAGGUGGGCUUCCAGUCAGGGCUCUUUUCUCCACCUCCCCAGGGGCUGUGUGUGCGUGUGUGGUUCUGAGUGUGUGGUUCUGUGCGUCUGUCGGUGUGUGCACCCAGCAAGCCCAGCGGGCGAGGUGGCCCCUGUGGCUUCGGGCUGAAGGAAUUAGUGUGCCGCGUGCAAUGGCUUUGGCAGCUGGCCGGGCUCGCCGCCCCUGGAUGCCAUGAGGGGCGUGGACGUGACACAUGUCCCACCUGCUGGUUUGGGGCAGGGCAGGGGCAGGGAGGAGAAGGCCCCUGAGCCUGGCUUUUUGGACUGCUCACUGCUGCUGCUGUCCUCCGUGGGGUAAGGACAGACAGGUGGACAGGAGCCAAUCUCUCUGCUCCUUCACCUCGGUGACACUGGCUCCGUGCCCUCCCUUAUGGGGGCCGAGAGACCGUUCUAGGCACCCCUCGCCCCCCAGAAGUGGUGUGAAAAGUGGGGCUCUGGACCUCUUGGGCCUGGCUUCAGAUCCCCUGGCCACUCCUCAUUGCUGUGUGCCCGGGAUAAGCCGCCUCACCUCUCUGGGCCGCUUCCCAACAUGAAUCCCGCCAGCCAGGGCUCUGAGGACAGAGUGGGUCAGGACCUGAGGCCCUCAGGACACCGCAGGUCAGCAGUGUGAGCCAUCAGCCCCUUGCCUGGCACUGUCCCCAUUGUCAUUCUGGUCACCUUUUCUGGGAGCAUUUGAACCCCAGUGUCACCCCCCACAGCCCAGCUCUCCCAGGUGGGGAGCAAGGCAGGAAACUCAGGAUGCUGACUCGGCCAGGGGAGAUCCCACGUGACCCCCACCAGCCAUAGGGCGGGAGGCAGCCUGCCAAGGUGAGGCACAG